UGGGGAAUAUUGGACAAUGGGGGGAACCCUGAUCCAGCCAUGCCGCGUGUGUGAAGAAGGCCUUAUGGUUGUAAAGCACUUUAAGCGAGGAGGAGGGUACUGGUAUUAAUACUACCAGGUACUGGACGUUACUCGCAGAAUAAGCACCGGCUAACUCUGUGCCAGCAGCCGCGGUAAUACAGAGGGUGCGAGCGUUAAUCGGAUUUACUGGGCGUAAAGCGUGCGUAGGCGGCUAAUUGAGUCGGAUGUGAAAUCCCCGAGCUUAACUUGGGAAUUGCAUUCGAUACUGGUUAGCUAGAGUGUGGGAGAGGACGGUAGAAUUCCAGGUGUAGCGGUGAAAUGCGUAGAGAUCUGGAGGAAUACCGAUGGCGAAGGCAGCCAUCUGGCCUAACACUGACGCUGAGGUACGAAAGCAUGGGGAGCAAACAGG
RNAcentral lists this ribosomal RNA (430 nucleotides) under Pseudomonadota bacterium. Its description in RNAcentral is "Proteobacteria bacterium partial 16S ribosomal RNA". It matches the Rfam family "Bacterial small subunit ribosomal RNA", at positions 355 to 776 of the family's 1533-position model. The record is from RNAcentral. Lineage: Bacteria; Pseudomonadati; Pseudomonadota.